GCCCGAGUGGCGGAAUGGCAGACGCGACGGACUCAAAAUCCGUUAUCUGAAAGGGUGUGUGGGUUCAACUCCCACCUCGGGCACCA
RNAcentral lists this transfer RNA (86 nucleotides) under Acidimicrobium sp. BACL17 MAG-120924-bin0. RNAcentral's name for it is "tRNA-Leu". It matches the Rfam family "tRNA". From Rfam's summary of the family: Transfer RNA (tRNA) molecules are approximately 80 nucleotides in length. Their secondary structure includes four short double-helical elements and three loops (D, anti-codon, and T loops). The record is from RNAcentral. RNAcentral also lists the same sequence under 3 other names. Lineage: Bacteria; Bacillati; Actinomycetota; Acidimicrobiia; Acidimicrobiales; Acidimicrobiaceae.